UACAGAGGUCUCAAGCGUUGUUCGGAUUCAUUGGGCGUAAAGGGUGUGUAGGUGGCGCGCUAAGUCGGGUGUGAAAUUUCGGAGCUUAACUCCGAAACUGCAUUCGAUACUGGCGUGCUUGAGGACUGGAGAGGAGACUGGAAUUCAUGGUGUAGCAGUGAAAUGCGUAGAGAUCAUGAGGAAGACCAGUGGCGAAGGCGGGUCUCUGGACAGUUCCUGACACUGAGACACGAAGGCCAGGGGAGCAAACGGG
Molecule: ribosomal RNA, 253 nt
Filed under: uncultured bacterium
Lineage: Bacteria
Also listed under: 1 other name
Description: partial 16S ribosomal RNA
Rfam family: Bacterial small subunit ribosomal RNA
Source: RNAcentral